Molecule: ribosomal RNA, 484 nt
Filed under: uncultured bacterium
Lineage: Bacteria
Description: partial 16S ribosomal RNA
Rfam family: Bacterial small subunit ribosomal RNA
Source: RNAcentral
AUUGAACGCUGGCGGCAUGCCUAACACAUGCAAGUCGAGCGGAUGAAGGGGGCUUGCUCCUGGAUUCAGCGGCGGACGGGUGAGUAAUGCCUAUGAAUCUGCCUGGUAGUGGGGGAUAACGUCCGGAAACGGGCUCUUAUACCGCGUACGUCCUGUGGGCGAAAGUGGGUGAGCUUCGGUACUCACGCUAUCAUGUGAGGAUAGGUCGGAUUAGCUGGUUGGUGGGGUAAAUGCCUACCAAGGCGACGAUGCGUAACUGGGCCUAGGGGAUGAUCAGUCACCCUGUAAGUGAGAAACGGCCCACACUCCGACGGGGAGACACAGUGGGGACUACUGGACAAGGCAGGAAAGCCUGAUACAGCAAUGUCGGCUGUAUGCAGAAGGUCUUAGGCUUGUAAAGCAAUUUAAGUUGGGAGGAAGGGCAGUACGUUAAUACCUUGCUGUUUUGACGUUACCAACAGAAUAAGCACCGGCUAACUUCGUG